UGCAAGUCGAGCGGACAGAUGGGAGCUUGCUCCCUGAUGUUAGCGGCGGACGGGUGAUUUAACGUGGGUAACCUGCCUGUAAGACUGGGAUAACUCCGGGAAACCGGGGCUAAUACCGGAUGGUUGUUUGAACCGCAUGGUUCAAACAUAAAAGGUGGCUUCGGCUACCACUUACAGAUGGACCCGCGGCGCAUUAGCUAGUUGGUGAGGUAACGGCUCACCAAGGCAACGAUGCGUAGCCGACCUGAGAGGGUGAUCGGCCACACUGGGACUGAGACACGGCCCAGACUCCUACGGGAGGCAGCAGUAGGGAAUCUUCCGCAAUGGACGAAAGUCUGACGGAGCAACGCCGCGUGAGUGAUGAAGGUUUUCGGAUCGUAAAGCUCUGUUGUUAGGGAAGAACAAGUACCGUUCGAAUAGGGCGGUACCUUGACGGUACCUAACCAGAAAGCCACGGCUAACUACGUGCCAGCAGCCGCGGUAAUACGUAGGUGGCAAGCGUUGUCCGGAAUUAUUGGGCGUAAAGGGCUCGCAGGCGGUUUCUUAAGUCUGAUGUGAAAGCCCCCGGCUCAACCGGGGAGGGUCAUUGGAAACUGGGGAACUUGAGUGCAGAAGAGGAGAGUGGAAUUCCACGUGUAGCGGUGAAAUGCGUAGAGAUGUGGAGGAACACCAGUGGCGAAGGCGACUCUCUGGUCUGUAACUGACGCUGAGGAGCGAAAGCGUGGGGAGCGAACAGGAUUAGA
Molecule: ribosomal RNA, 743 nt
Filed under: Bacillus spizizenii ATCC 6633 = JCM 2499
Lineage: Bacteria; Bacillati; Bacillota; Bacilli; Caryophanales; Bacillaceae
Description: bacterial SSU rRNA
Rfam family: Bacterial small subunit ribosomal RNA
Source: RNAcentral